RNAcentral lists this ribosomal RNA (120 nucleotides) under Chinchilla lanigera (long-tailed chinchilla). Lineage: Eukaryota; Metazoa; Chordata; Mammalia; Rodentia; Chinchillidae. The record is from RNAcentral.
GUUUACAGCCAUGCCACCUUGAAUGUGGCCAAUAUCAUGUGAUCUUGGAAGCUAAUCAGGGUCAGACCUGGUUAAUACUUAGACAGGAGAUAGCUUUCAAAUAGCUCCUUGCAGUACUUU